This 285-nucleotide signal recognition particle RNA is filed under the name Saimiri boliviensis boliviensis (Bolivian squirrel monkey). RNAcentral describes it as "Metazoan signal recognition particle RNA (ENSSBOG00000008932.1)". It matches the Rfam family "Metazoan signal recognition particle RNA". From Rfam's summary of the family: The signal recognition particle (SRP) is a universally conserved ribonucleoprotein. It is involved in the co-translational targeting of proteins to membranes. Lineage: Eukaryota; Metazoa; Chordata; Mammalia; Primates; Cebidae. The record is from RNAcentral.
GGCGUGUGCUGUAGUCCCGACUACUCAGGAGUCUGAGGUAAGAGGAUCGCUUGAGCCCAGGAGUUCUGGGCUGUAGUGCGCUAUGCCGAUCGGGUGUCCACACUAAGUUUGGCAUCAAUAUGGUGACCUCCCGGGAGCGGGGGACCACCAGGUUGCCUAAGGAGGGGUGAACCAGCCCAGGUCGGAAACAGAGGAGGUCAAAACUCCUGUGCUGAUCAGUAGUGGGAUUGCGGCUGUGAAUAGCCAUGCACUCCAGCCUGGGCAACGUAGUGAGAUCCUGUCUCU